This 393-nucleotide ribosomal RNA is filed under the name uncultured bacterium. RNAcentral's name for it is "partial 16S ribosomal RNA". It matches the Rfam family "Bacterial small subunit ribosomal RNA", at positions 523 to 918 of the family's 1533-position model. The record is from RNAcentral.
AUACGGAGGAUCCGAGCGUUAUCCGGAUUUAUUGGGUUUAAAGGGUGCGCAGGCGGGAGAUUAAGUCGGCGGUGAAAUUUUGCAGCUCAACUGUAAAAGUGCCUUCGAAACUGGUUUCCUUGAGUGUAGAUGAAGUAGGCGGAAUUUGUGGUGUAGCGGUGAAAUGCAUAGAUAUUACGAGGAACUCCGAUUGCGCAGGCAGCUUACUAAACUACUACUGACGCUCAGGCACGAAGGCGUGGGGAUCAAACAGGAUUAGAUACCCUGGUAGUCCACGCAGUAAACGAUGAUUACUAGCUGUUUGCGAUACAAUGUAAGCGGCUGAGCGAAAGCGUUAAGUAAUCCACCUGGGGAGUACGUUCGCAAGAAUGAAACUCAAAGGAAUUGACGGGG